RNAcentral lists this ribosomal RNA (609 nucleotides) under uncultured bacterium. RNAcentral describes it as "bacterial SSU rRNA". It matches the Rfam family "Bacterial small subunit ribosomal RNA", at positions 125 to 731 of the family's 1533-position model. The record is from RNAcentral.
UCUUCAUUAUGCUAAGGGAUAGCCAGUGGAAACUCUGAUUAAUACCUUAUAGUUUGCUUUAUCGGCAUCGAUUUAGCAAUAAAGAUUUAUCGGCAUAAUAUGAACAUGCGUCUUAUUAGUUUGUAGGUGGGGUAACGGCCUACCUAGACUACGAUAAGUACGGGCCCUGAGAGGGGGAUCCCCCACGCUGGUACUGAGACACGGACCAGACUCCUACGGGAGGCAGCAGUGAGGAAUAUUGGUCAAUGGACGCAAGUCUGAACCAGCCAUGCCGCGUGCAGGAUGACUGCCUUAUGGGUUGUAAACUGCUUUUAAUCAGGAAGAAAUGUGCCCACGAGUUGGGUACUUGACGGUACUGUUUGAAUAAGGAUCGGCUAACUCCGUGCCAGCAGCCGCGGUAAUACGGAGGAUCCAAGCGUUAUCCGGAAUCAUUGGGUUUAAAGGGUCCGUAGGCGGAUAGAUUAGUCAGCGGUGAAAGUUUGUGGCUUAACCAUAAAAUUGCCGUUGAUACUGUUUAUCUUGAAUAAGUGUGAAGUGGUUACAAUGAGUAGUGUAGCGGUGAAAUGCAUAAAUAUUACUCGGAAUACCAAUUGCGAAGGCAGAUCUCUA